This 405-nucleotide ribosomal RNA is filed under the name uncultured bacterium. RNAcentral's name for it is "partial 16S ribosomal RNA". It matches the Rfam family "Bacterial small subunit ribosomal RNA", at positions 30 to 526 of the family's 1533-position model. The record is from RNAcentral.
AUUGAACGCUAGCGGCAUGCUUUACACAUGCAAGUCGAACGAGUGGCGGACGGGUGAGUAAUAUAUCGGAACGUGCCCAGUAGCGGGGGAUAACUACUCGAAAGAGUGGCUAAUACCGCAUACUAUCGGAGCGGCCCAUAUCGGAUUAGCUAGUUGGUGGGGUAACGGCUCACCAAGGCAACGAUCCCUAGCUGGUCUGAGAGGAUGACCAGCCACACUGGGACUGAGACACGGCCCAGACUCCUACGGGAGGCAGCAGUGGGGAAUAUUGGACAAUGGGGGAAACCCUGAUCCAGCCAUCCCGCGUGUAUGAGAAGGCCUUCGGGUUGUAAAGUACUUUUGGCAGGGAAGCGGUAUCUGCAGAAUAAGCACCGGCUAACUACGUGCCAGCAGCCGCGGUAAUUC